This 253-nucleotide ribosomal RNA is filed under the name uncultured bacterium. RNAcentral describes it as "partial 16S ribosomal RNA". It matches the Rfam family "Bacterial small subunit ribosomal RNA", at positions 524 to 776 of the family's 1533-position model. The record is from RNAcentral.
UACAGAGACUGCAAGCGUUAUUCGGAUUCACUGGGCGUAAAGGGUGCGCAGGCGGCCAAGUGUGUUAGGCGUGAAAGCCCGGGGCUUAACCCCGGAAUUGCACCUAAAACUACAUGGCUAGAGCAUUGGAGAGGGUAGCAGAAUUCAUGGUGUAGCAGUGAAAUGCGUAGAUAUCGAGAGGAACACCAGUGGCGAAGGCGAGUCCCUGGACAACACCUGACACUGAGGCACGAAAGCUAGGGGAGCAAACAGG